UACGGAGGGGGCUAGCGUUGUUCGGAAUUACUGGGCGUAAAGCGCACGUAGGCGGCUUUGUAAGUUAGAGGUGAAAGCCCAGAGCUCAACUCUGGAACUGCCUUUAAGACUGCAUCGCUUGAAUUGUGGAGAGGUAAGUGGAAUUCCGAGUGUAGAGGUGAAAUUCGUAGAUAUUCGCAAGAACACCAGUGGCGAAGGCGGCUCACUGGCCCGGUACUGACGCUGAGGUGCGAAAGCGUGGGGAGCAAACAGG
RNAcentral lists this ribosomal RNA (253 nucleotides) under uncultured bacterium. RNAcentral describes it as "partial 16S ribosomal RNA". It matches the Rfam family "Bacterial small subunit ribosomal RNA", at positions 524 to 776 of the family's 1533-position model. The record is from RNAcentral.